UACGUAGGGUGCAAGCGUUGUCCGGAAUUAUUGGGCGUAAAGAGCUCGUAGGCGGUUUGUCGCGUCUGCUGUGAAAUCCCGAGGCUCAACCUCGGGCCUGCAGUGGGUACGGGCAAACUAGAGUGCGGUAGGGGAGAUUGGAAUUCCUGGUGUAGCGGUGGAAUGCGCAGAUAUCAGGAGGAACACCGAUGGCGAAGGCAGAUCUCUGGGCCGUAACUGACGCUGAGGAGCGAAAGCGUGGGGAGCGAACAGG
RNAcentral lists this ribosomal RNA (253 nucleotides) under uncultured bacterium. RNAcentral's name for it is "partial 16S ribosomal RNA". It matches the Rfam family "Bacterial small subunit ribosomal RNA", at positions 524 to 776 of the family's 1533-position model. The record is from RNAcentral.